RNAcentral lists this ribosomal RNA (501 nucleotides) under Nemertea sp. RCMBAR749. RNAcentral's name for it is "partial 16S ribosomal RNA". It matches the Rfam family "Bacterial large subunit ribosomal RNA", at positions 1832 to 2597 of the family's 2925-position model. The record is from RNAcentral. Lineage: Eukaryota; Metazoa; Nemertea. RNAcentral also lists the same sequence under 2 other names.
AGUUUGUUGUUUUUUAUAAUAAAUUUUUUCUGCCCGGUGAUUUUAAACGGCCGCGGUAUCUUGACCGUGCAAAGGUAGCAUAAUCAUUUGUUCUUUAAUUGGGGACUUGUAUGAAGGAAAGUUUGAGGCUUUUUCUGUCUCUUUUUAAAGUUAGAAUUUGCUUUUUAUGUGAAGAAGCAUAAAUUUUAUAAAAAAGACAAGAAGACCCUUUUAAGCUUGAUUUUUUCUUUUAUGCAUUGAUUUUUAUAAUACUAUAGUAUAAAGGUAAAAAUUUAGUUGGGGUGACUAAAGAAGAUUCAAUCUUCUUUUUUAUAGAAAACGAUUUGUUGAAUAAAGACCCAAAAUUUUUUGGUUGUAAGAAUUAGUUACUAAAGGGAUAACAGCGUAAUCUUUUCAGAGAGUUCUUAUUGAAGAAAAGGAUUGCGACCUCGAUGUUGACUUGCUUUUUCCUUCUAAGGCGCAGGUGUUAAAAGGGUUGGUCUGUUCGACCAUUAAAAUAGU